Platichthys flesus (European flounder) is the source of this 394-nucleotide long non-coding RNA. RefSeq lists it as uncharacterized. The record is from RefSeq and is a predicted model, not a curated record. The transcript is spliced from 3 exons. NCBI's taxonomy places the organism in Eukaryota, Metazoa, Chordata, Actinopteri, Pleuronectiformes, Pleuronectidae.
CCAGGAGCUCCAGGCAAACAUGGCUUGACACAAAGAGGACGAUCAAAGCCAAGCCCAGGUCAAAGAAAUGAGCCCAAAACAACAACGAGUACAAGAUCAAAGCUGACAAGCUCCAGACAAACACCCAAACACCUGAAUGAAAAGGGAGGACAAGAAAAAAGGCCCAGGCUGGUGAACACGAGAUUGCCUCGAAGUGAUGAGGCAGAGGAAUCAUUCAUUUGGCCCUUGGGAACACAGGACGACCCCGGCACCACCUGCCAUGAGCUGGGACUCAUACACCCACAUCUGACUGAUGGUUACUUUUACAUGGACCCCAACCAGGGCUGUGUCUGUGAUGCUGUGAAGGUUUCCUGUAACUUCACAGCAGGGGGAACAACCUGUAUAGACCCUUUAC